UAUGAGCCGUAGCACAGGACGUCUGCAUUCAAUUGAGCCGUGGCACAGGAUGUUGCAUCAGGACCUGCGGCGACGUGUAGUUUCUCCGACGACCGCAACUGGAAUCGAACGGGUUGGAGUUCUUACUCGAUCCGGCAGAUAGGUUUCCUCUGAGAUCUAAAGGAGGAGUUCGCCGACAGCUUGAAGCAGCCGAAUCCUGUGCCCCUGGCGCUGCUCCCACGGGGUGCAGCCGAAUCCUCGGCUGGAGCUGAAUAUAGUGGCGCCACCGGGUGUGCGCUCAAUGCGGGACUUCCGACCAGAAGCGGAGAAGAAGUGCGGCGAAGGAAGAAUGCAUCGUUGACGCAGUCUGUCCAGUCCACGGGGAAGGUGAAGCCGGAAGCACCGGGCUGGAUGAAGAGCUAGAGGCACAGAACAGGCUGUCUUGCAGAUCAGACUGUUCCUCUUUUGUUCCAAUUUGUUCGGUGAGUCUUGCGUACUUUGUUGCUGAAUACUGGACCAAUCUGUAGGACAUGCCCUCCGACCUUUUUGUAGGAGCGAGCAAUCAUUUUCAGAGCAUUAUGUUGGCUGAAUUUUUUAUGAGGGAUGAGCAAGUCGAGAGUCUUGAGUGGGUAUUUUCUGAGUUCCUAAAUACGAUGGGCAGGUUGGUGCUGAAGUCCAUCUUCACAGAUCACAAUAGAGCCAUGGAGGUAGCUAUCAGGAAAGUAUAUCCAGGGAAAUGAACAAUUGUAGCUCACCUUGCUGGUGGGUCUGCUCUUAAUGUUUAUUAUUUCAUUGCUCGCAGUUCUUUCGUUAGAUCUGUUGUGUGAUGAUACAAUGCGUAUGUGUAUUUGAGGAAAAUGACAAUUGACUGCAAGUGAACUCCUUGGUAUGUUUAGCUGAAAUUUGCUGAACUGAGCACUGGUGUGUAGUAACAUCGAAACCAUCAUGUAUUGGCCGAAGAGUUCAGUCCUUUAGAUUGUUUCUGAAAUAGUUAUAACUAAAAGAUUGCCUUCAUUUAAUAUUGAUUUCGAGAGUACUGUUGUUUUGAACAAUACUAGUUUAGCAGCAUGUUAUGUUGACAUGCACUUCUUGAAAACAGUCCCUGCCUAGGAACACUAGAAGCUGGAGAGAACGGAGAAGCCCAGUUUUUAGAAUUAAAAGAGAAACUAAAAGUUGUGGACUUGAUCGGUC
Molecule: long non-coding RNA, 1170 nt
Organism: Triticum aestivum (bread wheat)
Lineage: Eukaryota; Viridiplantae; Streptophyta; Magnoliopsida; Poales; Poaceae
Exons: 4
Source: RefSeq, a predicted model, not a curated record